CGUGUGGUUCUAUUUUGUUGGUUUCUAGGACCGCCGUAAUGAUUAAUAGGGACAGUCGGGGGCAUCAGUAUUCAAUUGUCAGAGGUGAAAUUCUUGGAUUUAUUGAAGACUAACUACUGCGAAAGCAUUUGCCAAGGAUGUUUUCAUUAAUCAGGAACGAAAGUUAGGGGAUCGAAGACGAUCAGAUACCGUCGUAGUCUUAACCGUAAACUAUGCCGACUAGGGAUCGGACGAGUUCAUAUUUGACUCGUUCGGCACCUUACGAGAAAUCAAAGUGCUUGGGCUCCAGGGGGAGUAUGGUCGCAAGGCUGAAACUUAAAGAAAUUGACGGAAGGGCACCACCAGGGGUGGAGCCUGCGGCUUAAUUUGACUCAACACGGGGAAACUCAC
RNAcentral lists this ribosomal RNA (390 nucleotides) under fungal sp. RNAcentral's name for it is "SSU rRNA". It matches the Rfam family "Eukaryotic small subunit ribosomal RNA", at positions 827 to 1218 of the family's 1831-position model. Lineage: Eukaryota; Fungi. The record is from RNAcentral.